Brachypodium distachyon (stiff brome) is the source of this 133-nucleotide non-coding RNA. NCBI's taxonomy places the organism in Eukaryota, Viridiplantae, Streptophyta, Magnoliopsida, Poales, Poaceae. The record is from Rfam.
AAUAUACUCCGUCCAACAAAGUAUGUAUCAACUUUGAUCAAAUUUGAAUGUAUCUAUACAUUAAGUCAUGUCAUAGAUAUAUUCAAAUUUUGAUAAAUUUAAGACAUGUUUUGUUGGACGGAGGAAGUAUAUA